This 253-nucleotide ribosomal RNA is filed under the name uncultured bacterium. RNAcentral describes it as "partial 16S ribosomal RNA". It matches the Rfam family "Bacterial small subunit ribosomal RNA", at positions 524 to 776 of the family's 1533-position model. The record is from RNAcentral.
UACGAAGGGGGCUAGCGUUGCUCGGAAUCACUGGGCGUAAAGCGCACGUAGGCGGCUUAUUAAGUCAGGGGUGAAAUCCUGGAGCUCAACUCCAGAACUGCCUUUGAUACUGAUGAGCUUGAGUCCGGGAGAGGUGAGUGGAACUGCGAGUGUAGAGGUGAAAUUCGUAGAUAUUCGCAAGAACACCAGUGGCGAAGGCGGCUCACUGGCCCGGUACUGACGCUGAGGUGCGAAAGCGUGGGGAGCAAACAGG